ACAAACUUGCUUUGGCGGUGGGCCCCUGCCUGCCGCCAGAGGACAUAAACUUACAACCAAAUUUUUUAUAAACUUGUCACGAGAUUAUUUUUAAUAGUCAAAACUUUCAACAACGGAUCUCUUGGUUCUC
Molecule: ribosomal RNA, 130 nt
Filed under: Candida dubliniensis
Lineage: Eukaryota; Fungi; Ascomycota; Pichiomycetes; Serinales; Debaryomycetaceae
Description: partial 5.8S ribosomal RNA
Source: RNAcentral